This 484-nucleotide ribosomal RNA is filed under the name uncultured bacterium. Its description in RNAcentral is "partial 16S ribosomal RNA". It matches the Rfam family "Bacterial small subunit ribosomal RNA", at positions 30 to 507 of the family's 1533-position model. The record is from RNAcentral.
AUUGAACGCUGGCGGCAGUCCUAACACAUGCCAGUCGAGCGGAUGAAGUGAGCUUGCUCCUGGAUUCAGCGGCGGACGGUUGUGUCAUUCCUAUGAAUCUGUCUGGUAGUGGGGGAUCACAUCCGUAGACGGGCGCUCAUACCGCAUACGUACUGCGGGCGAUAGAGGGGGGUCUUCGGUCCUCACGCUCUCAUCUGCGCCUAGGUCGGAUGACUGAGUUGGUGGGGUAAAGGCCUACCAAUGCAACGAUCCGUAACUGGUCUGAGAGGAUGGUGAGUCACACUGGAACUGAGACCAGGUCCAGACUCCUACGGGAGGCAGCAGUGGGGAAUAUUGGACAAUGGGCGAAAGCCUGAUCCAGCCAUGCCGCGUGUGUGAAGAAGGUCUUCAGAUUGUAAAGCACUUUAAGUUGGGAGGAAAGGCAGUCAGUUAAUACCUUGCUGUUUUGACGUUACCAACAGAAUAAGCACCGGCUAGCUUCGUG